Molecule: microRNA, 23 nt
Filed under: Alligator mississippiensis (American alligator)
Lineage: Eukaryota; Metazoa; Chordata; Crocodylia; Alligatoridae
Description: Ami-Mir-146-P1_3p* (star (passenger))
Source: RNAcentral
AGCCCUAUGGAUUCAGUUCUGUA